This 822-nucleotide long non-coding RNA is filed under the name Daucus carota (carrot). RNAcentral's name for it is "long non-coding RNA (DCAR_LNC007395)". Lineage: Eukaryota; Viridiplantae; Streptophyta; Magnoliopsida; Apiales; Apiaceae. The record is from RNAcentral.
UUGGGUCACGAGAACGCUCCUGUUUUUUAUUGGAUCUUAUGAUAGUCCCAUACUUUUAUAAUAUAAGCUCAAUCAAAUGCUAUAAUAUAAGCACUUAAAAGUCUACAGAAAGCACUUAAUAAAAAUUCCUUGAUGACUGUGGCAAACUUCAAAGAAUUAUGAAAAUUGUACCUCCUUCUUCAUCUUCUUUCUAAACCCACCACCACCACCUUCGCUAGCCACCAUCAUCUCCGGCAAUCACCUGAAAAUCACCACUGUCAACCAAAAAAUCACCAUCAGAAAAAGAGAAAUCACUGCCGGCAACCGAAAAAUCACUGUUGACAAUCGAAAAUCACCACGAUUUGCCACUAUUUUUUCCCAGCUACCAAACGUCCAUUAACCCCGACCACAAACAUAAUAACAAAAAUCACUAUAUUUAAGUAUGAAUCACCACAAAUCAACUAUCAAAUUCACCACAUCCAGAAUUGUAUCUGCCCACGAAUCCGGCCACCAACCCUAUUCAUCAGCUUCGAUCACCAACAUCGUACCUAAAAUCACCAGAUUUAAUUAUAAAACACUACAAUUAAACUAAACCACCACAUCACCUCCAACACCACCGUCUACAGAUCCGCAAUAUCUAACGAAUCACCAACUACAACCCAAAAUCACCAGAAAAUGAACGUAUAUCAAUAAAAAUUGAGAAAAUACCAAAUUUACAAAAAAUAAUUAGGGGAAGAAGUCGGUAAUGAGCUUCCUGAAGCUAAAGCAGAUCCAUUAGUCGAUAAAAAUGGUACUGACUCCAAACUCCACCACUAUUGGACAUGGUCUUACUAGCUACCUACC